UACAAAGACGAUAAGAACGAAGGUAAAGUGAUUGAAUAAAUACAAUGUACAGGUUGUCACAAGUUCUAGUAAGUGUGGUCCACUCCUAUUACGACUUAUUCACUUGUUUUUUAUUUCUAUUGAGCUCCUAUAUCAUAUGUGAUUAUCUACAGCUUUACAUACUCAGUACAUAUUUCGUACUGACGUCCCCCACGGGGACCUGCAUUUCAUGCUGCAGGCAUAGGUACCUCAGCUCAUUCACAGCAUAGAUAGGAGCCAGGUCAUACAGCUAUUGUUGGUGAGCUCCAGUUUGCUUCGGAGCUUUUCGAGUCGGUUCCUUAUGUUUUGUUAUUGUACAGGAGUCAUGUGUGGGCGGGGGGUUUGUCCCGACCCUAGUUAUGUCAUGUAUAUCCUAGAGGCUUUGUAGACAUAAGGAAGGGUAAAGUCAUGGAAGUUUAUAUAGUGAUGUUAUAUUUGUAUAUGUGGUGGCCCCGACGGCCAAGUAUUAUAUAUAUAUAUAUAUAUUUGUGC
This 510-nucleotide long non-coding RNA is filed under the name Capsicum annuum. RNAcentral describes it as "long non-coding RNA (CANN_LNC004389)". The record is from RNAcentral. Lineage: Eukaryota; Viridiplantae; Streptophyta; Magnoliopsida; Solanales; Solanaceae.